RNAcentral lists this ribosomal RNA (1671 nucleotides) under metagenome. Its description in RNAcentral is "bacterial LSU rRNA". It matches the Rfam family "Bacterial large subunit ribosomal RNA", at positions 901 to 2559 of the family's 2925-position model. The record is from RNAcentral.
GGUAGAGCACUGGAUCGUCGAGGGGGCUUCACCGCCUACCGACACGAACCAAACUCCGAAUGCCGCCGGAUCAGAGGCCGGGAGUCAGAACAUGUGGGCUAAGCUGUGUGUUCGAGAGGGAAACAGCCCAGACCGCCCGCUAAGGUCCCCAAGUUUAUGCUGAGUGGCAAAGGAUGUGCGUUUGCCUAGACAACCAGGAUGUUGGCUUAGAAGCAGCCAUGCAUUUAAAGAGUGCGUAACAGCUCACUGGUCAAGUGGACAUGCGCCGACAAUUCACGGGGCUAAGCAUAACACCGAAGCGGCGGACUAAUCUAUAUUAGUGGUAGGGGAGCUUUCCCCGCAGCGGAGAAGCCGAGAGGGCGACCCUCGGUGGAGCGCGGGGAAGUGAGAAUGCUGGCAUGAGUAACGAGAGCGGCGCGAGAAACGCCGCCGCCGUAAGCCUAAGGGUUCCUGGGCAAGGCUAAUCCUCCCAGGGUCAGUCGGGAGCUAAGGCGAGGCCGAGAGGCGUAGCCGAUGCGCAACAGGCGGACAUUCCUGUACCGCCUGCGGACCGCUAUCACCGACGGGGUGACGGAGAAGGGUAGCCGAGCGGGGUUCUGGACGUCCCCGUGAAAGCGCGUAGGGAGCAUCGCAUGGAAAUCAGCGGUGCACGUAUCCUGAGACGCGAGACGAAAGCUUAUGCUGAAGUCGGCGAGCCCAUGCUUCCGAGAAAAACCUCUAGGAAGGGACGCAGGCGCCCGUACCAAAACCGACACAGGUGGGCAGGUAGAGCAUACCGAGGCGAUCGGGAGAACCAUGGUUAAGGAACUCGGCAUACUGACUCCGUAACUUCGGGAGAAGGAGUGCCCCUGGCGGUGACGGGACUAGCUCCCCGAGCGGCCGGGGGUCGCAGCGAAACGGCCCAAGCGACUGUUUAUCAAAAACACAGGACUCUGCAAAGCCGUAAGGCGACGUAUAGGGUCUGACGCCUGCCCGGUGCUGGAAGGUUACGCGGAUGGGUCAGCCGCAAGGCGAAGCUCUGAAGCCAAGCCCCAGUAAACGGCGGCCGUAACUAUAACGGUCCUAAGGUAGCGAAAUUCCUUGUCGGGUAAGUUCCGACCUGCACGAAUGGCGUAACGAUUUGGGCGCUGUCUCAACCAUGGACCCGGUGAAAUUGUAUUAUUCGUGAAGAUGCGAAUUACCUGCGGAAGGACGGAAAGACCCCGUGAACCUUUACUGCAGCUUGACAUUGAUCGUUGGCUCGGCGCGUAGAGGAUAGGCAGGAGGCUGCGAAGCCCGGGCGCCAGCCCGGGCGGAGCCGACCUUGGAAUACUGCCCUCGUCGCGUCGGCGAUCUAACCCCCGGCCGUGAUCCGGCGGGGGGACCGUGUCAGGCGGGUAGUUUGACUGGGGCGGUCGCCUCCCAAAACGUAACGGAGGCGCGCAAAGGUCCGCUCAGAACGGUCGGCAACCGUUCGCAGAGCGCAAGAGUACAAGCGGGCUUGACUGCGAGGCCCACAAGCCGAGCAGAGACGAAAGUCGGUUCUAGUGAUCCGGCGGCACAGAGUGGAAUGGCCGUCGCUCAACGGAUAAAAGGUACUCCGGGGAUAACAGGCUGAUCUUGCCCAAGAGUCCAUAUCGACGGGGAGGUUUGGCACCUCGAUGUCGGCUCAUCGCAUCCUGGGGCUGAAGU